AGAAGGGUUGACUCAGAGGAGGGACCAGGCAGAGGGCGAGCUGGGAGGCAGAAGUGUCUCUGAGUGGAGCCAUGCAGAGAAUCAGCUCCUUCGUCUGUCUCACCCUCUUCUGGGCAGGAGCCAUGUCAGAUUUCAUUUUAGUGCCUCAAGACCAAGUAGUGACUGUGUCCAAAGGGGGCUCUGCCACCUUCAGUUACUCCAUGGGAGGAGAAAAUAUCAAUAACUUUUACGUCAGCUGGUACAGGAAGACCCAGAGGAGCACAGUGACUUUCAUAUACCGAGAAGGGGACGUGUUUGGUCCUGGUUUCCAGAACAGGAGCCAAGGUAGAAUUGAUAUUUCAAAAAACCAGGCUGUACUUGAGAUCUUUGAAGUAUCAGAAAGAGAUGAAGGAUUUUACUACUGCUCUUGUAGUCGCACUGGAGACCCAGAAUGUCCACCACUGAUCUUUGGCAAAGGAACCUACCUGGAGGUAGAACCAAAAAAUCAGCCCCCUGUCAAACCACACGUUUUCAUCAUGAAAAAUGGGACGAAUGUUGCUUGUCUGGUGAAGGAUUUCUACCCCAAGAAUGUAAAUAUAAGUCUCCAGUCAUCCAAGAAAAUAAUAGAAUUUGACCCUGUUGUCGCCGUUACUCCCAGUGGGAAGUACAGUGCUGUCAAGCUUGGUCGAUAUGCAGAUUCUAAUUCAGUGACAUGUUCAGUUCAACACAACGAUGAAAUCGUGUACUCCACUGACACUGAACCGAAAACAAAGUACUCCACUGACUUUGAACCGAAAACAAACGCUUCAGAUAAUCCAAAACCAGUGGAAACUGAAAACAUACACCAAACUUCAGAGAGAUGCUCUGAACUCAAAGCCUUGGUGCACGCCGAGAAGGUGAACAUGAUGUCCCUCACGGUGCUGGGGCUCCGAAUGCUGUUGGCCAAGACUGUUGCCGUCAAUUUUCUCUUGACUGCCAAGUUAUUUUUCUUCUAAGGCUGACUGACAUAAGAAGGCUAAACUCCCUGAAAGGAACUGAAAGCCUACAGAGGUGCUAUCUAUCUCUUAGGCUUCUGACUUCUCAGUGAUUCAAGUUAACCCACCACAGCCUUGCUUAAAUUGCUGCUACCCAAACCAGUUUUUCUUCAAAGGCAACAAACUUAGUUUAUCCUCCAGCCUGAUGGAACGACAAAAGUCCUGGAGGGUAGGGGUUUGUGGUCCUAAGUGCUUUAUAUGCUGCUUUAUAAAUGGAUAUAGAAAUGCAAAGGGAUAGAGGGCUCAUUUUUUACUGAUACACUUUGAAAAUGGUGUUUGGUUCAUCUGACUUUUUUUGCCUUCAGAAGUAGAAAGUGGGAGCCAACAGGUUACCAGCUCCAUUCUCCAAGAGAAAAGCAGACCCUGGGGGAAGGAGAGCAGGACUCCUUUACCUAAACAUGAAAGGUUCUGCUCAACCCAGCACUAGAUUUGCCCCAAACUAGCAUCUCAUCCACAAAAGUACUUUCUGCUCUUCCUACUAUUUUACAAACAAAAUUAGAUUUGACAUCCCUGACACCCAUGACGUAGGCAAAGGGGUUUCUAAAAUCUCAUCUAAAUACUUACUCUCCAAGCUCUUAGCAGAGAUCAGAGUAAAAUACAGAAGAAAUGCACUUCUAUUAAUUGAUUUAACAAACAUGAAUUGAUUCCCUCUAAGUUCCAGGUACUUUGUUUAAAAUGCAAAAAUGAGUAAGACAUGGGUCUUGCUUUCAAGCAAUUCAUACACAAGUGUUUUUGGAAGGAGGGAUAGAAAUGAGAGCCCCAGAUUUCCCCUGUAAAACCAGUAUCUUUACUAUCCUUGCCCGCCAAUCUAUACAUAGGGACCUGGACAGUGACUCUCGCCUGGGCACUUGGCAUUGAUGGCUCUCUGCCAUUCUGCUCUGAUACUGUCUCUGUUGCAUUUAUUAAAGUGUAUUGUGUGUGCCUCA
This is a non-coding RNA of Rhinolophus ferrumequinum (greater horseshoe bat), 1939 nucleotides long. NCBI's taxonomy places the organism in Eukaryota, Metazoa, Chordata, Mammalia, Chiroptera, Rhinolophidae. The record is from the annotation of a RefSeq genome assembly.